This is a long non-coding RNA of Myxocyprinus asiaticus (Chinese sucker), 1151 nucleotides long. RefSeq lists it as uncharacterized. The transcript is spliced from 3 exons. The record is from RefSeq and is a predicted model, not a curated record. NCBI's taxonomy places the organism in Eukaryota, Metazoa, Chordata, Actinopteri, Cypriniformes, Catostomidae.
CUGCCGAGCAGCCUCCACUUUUGGCCACAGUUGUUUACGUAUGGCUUUGUCCAUAGUUGUUAAAUCCUCUCCAAAUCGUAUCUCCUUUGUCUUCAGAUAGGUACUCGUUUUCGCAGCUUUCCAAAGCAUAUCACGUGAGGAUCUGGACACAAACUGGAUGAUGACAGUUCUCGCUUUCACGGCAUUUCCUUCAAGUUUUCUUCCAAGCCGGUGUACGAUAUCUACAUCUUGUUGAAGUUUGCUGGUAAGUUCUGUAAGAACUGCACAACAAAUAUCCACCACUCGUGCCUUUAUGUCUUCGCCUGCCUGUUACACCAGUCCAUACAUUCUCAGAUUCCAUCUUCUUUUGUAACGUUCUACCUCGUUGAGCUUCAAUCUCCGACAUUUUCUUACCAUGUGCACCGCUGACCUCAUGAUUUAUUUUCAUCUCCUUCUUUACAUUUUUCAUGUCUUCUUUGACGUCUUUUACUUCACUGAAGAGGAAUUCUGUCGUUAAAUGCUCACCGUAUUUGCCCUUAAGAGUUCCUCUAAUCCGUUGACUCUCUCAUUUACGCAUUGUACGAUGUUUUCUUGAAUUUCAGACAGGGAAGGUUCAUGUUUACCUUUCUUCGGAUCAGGAGUGCUGGGGGUCGAAUCCGGUAAUGUAGCAAAUGAAGUGUUAUGCACCUAAUAUGAGUGCAAUGCUUAAAUGUCAGUGCCGCAAAUGUGUACUUCAUCAUCUUUGCUUUUCAUCUUUGUUAGGCGUUUUUUCUUUGGCUUUACUUUCCCUCUCUUUCCGUUUUUCCGCCAUGGAAGCUUAUUGGGUUACACAUCGGCGAGUUGCAAAGUUGAAGAAACAAACUUUUAUCCUCAGCUUCUCAAAACAACCUCCUCACCGGUCGCCAUCUUGCAAAAGAGAUUUGUGCAUCUGUAGAGGCAGCAGCGGGCACUGUUCAGAGAUCAGGGGAUUUUGGCCAAUCAGAAGAGCUAGUCAUACCAAUAAAGAAAAAUGACAGAACAGGGUUGGUCUUCGCAGUCUUACCCUGAUGUGAAGAAGGAAUCCAACCGCAGGGGCAUCCACACCAGUCUGAAAAAUGAAGAGCUCAUUGAGGCCACUUGCUCUCUCCUAAACACGCCCCCAAUGCUCUUCAAUACAUCUUUUAUGACCCUUU